AUGGACCGUUUCCGUAUGGCGGCUUCCCAACCCAACAAACCAACGAUGAAGGAGGAUGGCGAAGAUGAGAUGGCGGGAUGGUGGGAGAAGGCUGCGAAGAAGCUUAGAGAGGAGGAUGCAGCCAAGCUAAAGAAGAAGAAGGAAGAGGAGCUUGAGAAGGAGAGGAAGCGAAAACAGACUGCGGCAAAUGCGAUGCGCGCUAGGGAGCAAGCGUUGAUGAGGAAAGUUGAGGAGGCACAGAAGAAGCGUCAACAGGAUUUUGAAGAAAGAACCAUGAAGCUUUGGGCAAUUGCAGCUAAAAAGAAGAGAGGGACAAUCAGAUAUUCAUGGAGAGGGUGGUUAAGGAGGCUCACCUCAUAA
Molecule: ribosomal RNA, 360 nt
Filed under: Triticum aestivum (bread wheat)
Lineage: Eukaryota; Viridiplantae; Streptophyta; Magnoliopsida; Poales; Poaceae
Description: partial small subunit ribosomal RNA
Source: RNAcentral